RNAcentral lists this ribosomal RNA (2923 nucleotides) under Klebsiella pneumoniae. Its description in RNAcentral is "bacterial LSU rRNA". It matches the Rfam family "Bacterial large subunit ribosomal RNA". The record is from RNAcentral. Lineage: Bacteria; Pseudomonadati; Pseudomonadota; Gammaproteobacteria; Enterobacterales; Enterobacteriaceae.
GGGUUGUGAGGUUAAGCGACUAAGCGUACACGGUGGAUGCCCUGGCAGUCAGAGGCGAUGAAGGACGUGCUAAUCUGCGAAAAGCGUCGGUAAGGUGAUAUGAACCGUUAUAACCGGCGAUGUCCGAAUGGGGAAACCCAGUGCAAUUCGUUGCACUAUCGUUAACUGAAUACAUAGGUUAACGAGGCGAACCGGGGGAACUGAAACAUCUAAGUACCCCGAGGAAAAGAAAUCAACCGAGAUUCCCCCAGUAGCGGCGAGCGAACGGGGAGCAGCCCAGAGUCUGAAUCAGCUUGUGUGUUAGUGGAACGGUCUGGAAAGUCCGACGGUACAGGGUGAUAGUCCCGUACACCAAAAUGCACAGGCUGUGAACUCGAAGAGUAGGGCGGGACACGUGGUAUCCUGUCUGAAUAUGGGGGGACCAUCCUCCAAGGCUAAAUACUCCUGACUGACCGAUAGUGAACCAGUACCGUGAGGGAAAGGCGAAAAGAACCCCGGCGAGGGGAGUGAAAAAGAACCUGAAACCGUGUACGUACAAGCAGUGGGAGCACCUUCGGGUGUGACUGCGUACCUUUUGUAUAAUGGGUCAGCGACUUAUAUUCUGUAGCAAGGUUAACCGUAUAGGGGAGCCGCAGGGAAACCGAGUCUUAACUGGGCGUUAAGUUGCAGGGUAUAGACCCGAAACCCGGUGAUCUAGCCAUGGGCAGGUUGAAGGUUGGGUAACACUAACUGGAGGACCGAACCGACUAAUGUUGAAAAAUUAGCGGAUGACUUGUGGCUGGGGGUGAAAGGCCAAUCAAACCGGGAGAUAGCUGGUUCUCCCCGAAAGCUAUUUAGGUAGCGCCUCGUGAACUCAUCUUCGGGGGUAGAGCACUGUUUCGGCUAGGGGGUCAUCCCGACUUACCAACCCGAUGCAAACUACGAAUACCGAAGAAUGUUAUCACGGGAGACACACGGCGGGUGCUAACGUCCGUCGUGAAGAGGGAAACAACCCAGACCGCCAGCUAAGGUCCCAAAGUCAUGGUUAAGUGGGAAACGAUGUGGGAAGGCACAGACAGCCAGGAUGUUGGCUUAGAAGCAGCCAUCAUUUAAAGAAAGCGUAAUAGCUCACUGGUCGAGUCGGCCUGCGCGGAAGAUGUAACGGGGCUAAACCAUGCACCGAAGCUGCGGCAGCGACACUAUGUGUUGUUGGGUAGGGGAGCGUUCUGUAAGCCUGCGAAGGUGACCUGUGAGGGUUGCUGGAGGUAUCAGAAGUGCGAAUGCUGACAUAAGUAACGAUAAAGCGGGUGAAAAGCCCGCUCGCCGGAAGACCAAGGGUUCCUGUCCAACGUUAAUCGGGGCAGGGUGAGUCGACCCCUAAGGCGAGGCCGAAAGGCGUAGUCGAUGGGAAACAGGUUAAUAUUCCUGUACUUGGUGUUACUGCGAAGGGGGGACGGAGAAGGCUAUGUUAGCCGGGCGACGGUUGUCCCGGUUUAAGCAUGUAGGCUGAUUGUCCAGGCAAAUCCGGAUAAUCAAGGCUGAGGUGUGAUGACGAGGCACUACGGUGCUGAAGUAACAAAUGCCCUGCUUCCAGGAAAAGCCUCUAAGCAUCAGGUAACAUCAAAUCGUACCCCAAACCGACACAGGUGGUCAGGUAGAGAAUACCAAGGCGCUUGAGAGAACUCGGGUGAAGGAACUAGGCAAAAUGGUGCCGUAACUUCGGGAGAAGGCACGCUGGUGUGUAGGUGAAGUCCCUGCGGAUGGAGCUGAGACCAGUCGAAGAUACCAGCUGGCUGCAACUGUUUAUUAAAAACACAGCACUGUGCAAACACGAAAGUGGACGUAUACGGUGUGACGCCUGCCCGGUGCCGGAAGGUUAAUUGAUGGGGUUAUCCGUAAGGAGAAGCUCUUGAUCGAAGCCCCGGUAAACGGCGGCCGUAACUAUAACGGUCCUAAGGUAGCGAAAUUCCUUGUCGGGUAAGUUCCGACCUGCACGAAUGGCGUAAUGAUGGCCAGGCUGUCUCCACCCGAGACUCAGUGAAAUUGAACUCGCUGUGAAGAUGCAGUGUACCCGCGGCAAGACGGAAAGACCCCGUGAACCUUUACUAUAGCUUGACACUGAACAUUGAGCCUUGAUGUGUAGGAUAGGUGGGAGGCUUUGAAGCGUGGACGCCAGUCUGCGUGGAGCCAACCUUGAAAUACCACCCUUUAAUGUUUGAUGUUCUAACGUUGGCCCCUGACCGGGGUUGCGGACAGUGUCUGGUGGGUAGUUUGACUGGGGCGGUCUCCUCCCAAAGCGUAACGGAGGAGCACGAAGGUUAGCUAAUCCUGGUCGGACAUCAGGAGGUUAGUGCAAUGGCAUAAGCUAGCUUGACUGCGAGCGUGACGGCGCGAGCAGGUGCGAAAGCAGGUCAUAGUGAUCCGGUGGUUCUGAAUGGAAGGGCCAUCGCUCAACGGAUAAAAGGUACUCCGGGGAUAACAGGCUGAUACCGCCCAAGAGUUCAUAUCGACGGCGGUGUUUGGCACCUCGAUGUCGGCUCAUCACAUCCUGGGGCUGAAGUAGGUCCCAAGGGUAUGGCUGUUCGCCAUUUAAAGUGGUACGCGAGCUGGGUUUAGAACGUCGUGAGACAGUUCGGUCCCUAUCUGCCGUGGGCGCUGGAGAAUUGAGGGGGGCUGCUCCUAGUACGAGAGGACCGGAGUGGACGCAUCACUGGUGUUCGGGUUGUCAUGCCAAUGGCACUGCCCGGUAGCUAAAUGCGGAAGAGAUAAGUGCUGAAAGCAUCUAAGCACGAAACUUGCCCCGAGAUGAGUUCUCCCUGAGACUUUAAGUCUCCUGAAGGAACGUUAAAGACGAUGACGUUGAUAGGCCGGGUGUGUAAGCGCAGCGAUGCGUUGAGCUAACCGGUACUAAUGAACCGUGAGGCUUAACCUUACAACGCCGAAG